CCUACGGGAGGCAGCAGUGGGGAAUAUUGGGCAAUGGAGGCAACUCUGACCCAGCAACGCCGCGUGAGUGAUGAAGGUCUUCGGAUUGUAAAACUCUUUAAGUGGGGACGAAGAAAGUGACUGUACCCACAGAAUAAGCCUCGGCUAACUACGUGCCAGCAGCCGCGGUAAUACGUAGGUGGCAAGCGUUGUCCGGAUUUACUGGGUGUAAAGGGCGUGUAGCCGGGUUGACAAGUCAGAUGUGAAAUCCUGCGGCUUAACCGCAGAACUGCAUUUGAAACUGUUGAUCUUGAGUACUGGAGAGGCAGACGGAAUUCCUAGUGUAGCGGUGAAAUGCGUAGAUAUUAGGAGGAACACCAGUGGCGAAGGCGGUCUGCUGGACAGCAACUGACGGUGAGGCGCGAAAGCGUGGGGAGCAAACAGGAUUAGAUACCCCAGUAGUC
This 443-nucleotide ribosomal RNA is filed under the name uncultured bacterium. RNAcentral's name for it is "partial 16S ribosomal RNA". It matches the Rfam family "Bacterial small subunit ribosomal RNA", at positions 338 to 795 of the family's 1533-position model. The record is from RNAcentral.